GAAGAAAUCGUUAAGGGCGUAUGGCGGAUGCCUAGGCUCACAGAGGCGAAGAAGGACGUGAUAAGCUGCGAAAAGCUGCGGGGAUUUGCACAUAAGAAUAGAUCCGCAGAUAUCCGAAUGGGGCAACCCACUAUGUUGAAGGCAUAGUACCAGAGAUGGGGCGAACCCGGAGAACUGAAACAUCUAAGUACCCGGAGGAAGAGAAAUCAAAUGAGAUUCCCAGAGUAGUGGCGAGCGAAAUGGGAUUAGCCGAGAAUUUACAAAUAUUAGAAAUACUUGGAAAAGUAUACCGAAGAAGGUGAGAGUCCUGUAUAAGAAAUGAGUAGAUUACGUAUUAAGUAGGGCGGGACACGAGAAAUCCUGUUUGAAGAAGGGGGGACCAUCCUCCAAGGCUAAAUACUCCUGUGAGACCGAUAGUGAACAAGUACUGUGAAGGAAAGGUGAAAAGCACUUUGAAUAAAAGGGUGAAAGAGAACCUGAAACCGUACGCCUACAAGCGGUCGGAGCAUCGUAAGAUGUGACGGCGUGCCUUUUGCAUAAUGAGCCUACGAGUUACUGUUACUGGCGAGGAUAAGGUGUUCAGCACUGUAUUCGAAGCGAGAGCGAGUCUGAAAAAGGCGGUAUAGUCAGUAGGAGUAGACGCGAAACCUUGUGAUCUACCCAUGGGCAGGUUGAAGCUGUGGUAACACACAGUGGAGGACCGAACCGGUUGACGUUGAAAAGUCUUCGGAUGACCUGUGGGUAGGGGUGAAAGGCCAAUCAAACUGGGAAAUAGCUCGUACUCCCCGAAAUGCAUUUAGGUGCAGCGUUUAAAUAAGUUUAUUAGAGGUAGAGCUACUGAUAGGAUGCGGGGGAUUCACCUCCUACCAAUUCCUGACAAACUCCGAAUGCUAGUAAAUGAUAUUAAGCAGUGAGGGCAUGGGUGCUAAGGUCCAUGUCCGAGAGGGAAAGAACCCGGACUAACAGCUAAGGUCCCUAAAUGUAUGUUAAGUUGAUAAAACGCGGUUGGAUUGCACAGACAGCUAGGAUGUUGGCUUGGAAGCAGCCAUUCAUUUAAAGAGUGCGUAACAGCUCACUAGUCGAGCGAUCUGGCAUGGAUAAUGAUCGGGCAUAAACAUACUACCGAAGCUAUAGACUGUAGAUACAGUGGUAGGGGAGCAUUCUAUACGAGUAGAAGUUGAGCUGUAAGGCUUGGUGGAUUGUAUAGAAAAGAAAAUGUAGGCAUAAGUAACGAUAAUGCGGAUGAGAAAUCCGCACGCCGCAAGACUAAGGAUUCCUCAGCUAUGCUAAUCAGCUGAGGGUUAGUCGGGACCUAACAUGAACCCGAAAGGGGUAGUGGAUGGCAAACAGGUUAAUAUUCCUGUACCUGCUCACAGAGGAAGUGACGGGGUUAAGUAAUAAGUGCGUACUGACGGAAUAGUACGUUGAACCCAUUUAACGUGGGGAUAGUACACAAAGGCUACGGCUGGCGUGAUAAUCUUAUGAAGUGACCUCCAAGAAAUAGCGAGUGAAGCAGCCCGUACCGUAAACCGACACAGGUAGUCGAGGAGAGUAUCCUAAGGCGCUCGAGUGAAUCAUGGCUAAGGAACUAGGCAAAAUAGACCUGUAACUUCGGGAGAAAGGUCGCCCCAAGCGAUUGGGGCCGCAGCGAAGAGGUCCAGGCGACUGUUUAUUAAAAACACAGCACUCUGCAAACACGAAAGUGGACGUAUAGGGUGUGAUGCCUGCCCGGUGCUGGAAGGUUAAUUGAUGGGGUUAGCGUAAGCGAAGCUCUUGAUCGAAGCCCCAGUAAACGGCGGCCGUAACUAUAACGGUCCUAAGGUAGCGAAAUUCCUUGUCGGGUAAGUUCCGACCUGCACGAAUGG
Molecule: ribosomal RNA, 1865 nt
Filed under: Candidatus Ornithobacterium hominis
Lineage: Bacteria; Pseudomonadati; Bacteroidota; Flavobacteriia; Flavobacteriales; Weeksellaceae
Description: partial 23S ribosomal RNA
Rfam family: Bacterial large subunit ribosomal RNA
Source: RNAcentral